GAUGAACGCUGGCGGCGUGCCUAAUACAUGCAAGUCGAGCGAACAGACCAGGAGCUUGUUCCUCUCACGUUAGCGGCGGACGGGUGAGUAACACGUGUAUAACCUACUUAUCAUACUGGUAUAUUUUCGGGAAACCGGCGCUAAUACCGGAUGAUAUAUUGAACCGCAUGGUUCAAUAGUGAAAGACGGCUUUGCUGUCUCUUAUAGAUGCAUCUGCGCCGCAUUAGCUAGUUGGUAAGUUCACGGGUUACCAAGGCAACGAUGCGUAGCCGAAGUGAGAGGGGGGUCGGCCACACUGGAAGUGAGACGGCGUCCAGGGUACUGCGAGACGCAGCAGUAGGGAAUCUUCCGCAGUAGGCGGGAACCUGACGGAGCGGCGGGACGUGAGUGAUGGCAGUCUUGCGAGCGUAAUACUCGCUUACUAGUGGUGAACAGAUGUGUAAGUUACUGUACACGUCUUGACGGUACCUAGUCAGAAAGCCCCGGCUAACUACGUG
This 497-nucleotide ribosomal RNA is filed under the name uncultured bacterium. RNAcentral's name for it is "partial 16S ribosomal RNA". It matches the Rfam family "Bacterial small subunit ribosomal RNA", at positions 28 to 507 of the family's 1533-position model. The record is from RNAcentral.